UACGGAGGGUGCAAGCGUUAAUCGGAAUUACUGGGCGUAAAGCGCACGUAGGCGGCUUUGUAAGUCGGAUGUGAAAGCCCUGGGCUUAACCUGGGAAUUGCAUUCGAUACUGCUUGGCUAGAGUAUGGUAGAGGGAAGUGGAAUUUCCGGUGUAGCGGUGAAAUGCGUAGAUAUCGGAAGGAACACCAGUGGCGAAGGCGACUUCCUGGGCCAAUACUGACGCUGAGGUGCGAAAGCGUGGGGAGCAAAC
This 250-nucleotide ribosomal RNA is filed under the name uncultured bacterium. Its description in RNAcentral is "partial 16S ribosomal RNA". It matches the Rfam family "Bacterial small subunit ribosomal RNA", at positions 524 to 773 of the family's 1533-position model. The record is from RNAcentral.